Molecule: ribosomal RNA, 253 nt
Filed under: uncultured bacterium
Lineage: Bacteria
Description: partial 16S ribosomal RNA
Rfam family: Bacterial small subunit ribosomal RNA
Source: RNAcentral
UACGUAGGGGGCUAGCGUUGUCCGGAUUUAUUGGGCGUAAAGAGCGUGUAGGCGGCCAAGUAGGUCCGGUGUGAAAACUCGAGGCUUAACCUCGAGAUGUCAUCGGAAACCAUUUGGCUAGAGUCCGGAAGAGGAAAGUGGAAUUCCUGGUGUAGCGGUGAAAUGCGCAGAUAUCAGGAAGAACACCGGUGGCGAAGGCGGCUCGCUGGGCCAGAUCCGACACUCAUCCGCGAAAGCGUGGGGAGCAAACAGG